AAGAAAGUUAGUCUAACAAAGACA
RNAcentral lists this transfer RNA (24 nucleotides) under Xanthomixis apperti. RNAcentral's name for it is "partial tRNA-Arg". The record is from RNAcentral. RNAcentral also lists the same sequence under 1 other name. Lineage: Eukaryota; Metazoa; Chordata; Aves; Passeriformes; Bernieridae.